This is a long non-coding RNA of Malus domestica (apple), 1106 nucleotides long. RefSeq lists it as uncharacterized. The record is from RefSeq and is a predicted model, not a curated record. NCBI's taxonomy places the organism in Eukaryota, Viridiplantae, Streptophyta, Magnoliopsida, Rosales, Rosaceae.
UCUACCUGUUCUUCGACUCACCUUCAAACAAAAAACCCAAAAUUCACCAUUUUCAGAUGUGUUCCAGUGGAGGCCAGCCUGCAACCACAACUAUUCAACUCAGGACAAUCCCAACAACAACAUUCGAGCUUUGCAUGCUCGAACCUACCCAUCAAUCGAAGAGUUCCAUAAGCCCAGCUUGCGUAGGCAUUGAAGUUGGGUGGAUGAAAUCCCUUUUCCUCCUCAGAUCAAAACACCAAGCCUCUAUCUCUUCUAGGUCAAGGAAUUACCGACUUUUUCUUCAAAUAGUUCACAACACAUGGGGUUUACUUGGACCCUGAAAUUGUGUCACAUCUUCAAGAAUGGAAGACCUAAUAGGCAAAUGAACCUGCAGAAGAUGAUGACUUCUUUGAUGCUCUUAUUUCUGCCCCCUGUUGAGAAAUUCAUUAGGGUUGUGGUGAUCAAGGAGAUCAAAGGGUCAUAAUAUGGAGUGCAGAUUGAGAGUGCUGUGAAGGAUAUAUUGGCAGCUGCUGACAAAUAUGAGGAAGAGGAGGAGGAGUCCUUGGAAAAAGUUGUUGAGUUCUUUCAAUCAAAGUGCUUCAAGAAGGAUUUCAUCUAUCACAUUCCAUUUUCCUGCCAUUUUUGCCGCUGCCGAGGUAAAGAAUCAUCUUAAUCAAAGGGUAGAAAGUAAAAAGUAACAAUAUUGUUGAACAACGUAAAGUCCACAUAGAAAACUUGACAAAAUAAUGUAUGAUAUAUAAGUGUGCGAUGGGUGGUUCCACCACUGAGACAUUUUGUGAUGAAAUCUCACAUGUGUUAUGCUAAUAGGUUGUUAAACUUAACUGCACAUUGAAAGAGAUAUCAGUGUUGAUUAGUAAUUAGUUGCUGACCUAACUCUGAUAUCUUUUACAAACAUUGUUACUAGCUAUUGUGUAAUUUGUAAGUAAACUUUUGUGUUUAUGCAGAUUGUGUUUACACAUAUGUUCAAAAUCAUUUACAACUCCAUUUACACAUAUAUGUACAACCAUCAUUAAAAUUCUAUAUCAUAUGUAUACUAAUCAGCAUUCCCAAGACCCAUCAAUAGGGAAAGCAUUGGGGUCAUAUAUAGGGCAAAUUGUGACAAUUUG